GCAGGGUGUAGCGAGUGUGGGGAAGCAGGAGCUGCGAGUGGAAAGAGGUCACGAGGAGCUGUUGUCCCCAUUUCCAGCCUCAGCAAUUCUUGGUGCCUGCACUUAUGGCCAAGUGGGUAGCCAUAAACUGGGUACCGCACCCUUCCCAGAAUGUCCGGAAUGAGGUCGAGGCAGGUGCCUGGUCCCAGCAAGGGGGCUACCAUGUCAUUGGUGACUGGCAGCUUGCUGGGCAAGCUGGAAAGGCAAUGGAGCAUGACAGGAUUGACGCCAUUCAGGUACUGGUACCCGAAGAAGUUGUCCUCACACCAGUGCUCUGUGACAUACUCUAGGGGAGCAAGAGAAGGGACCAGUAGGUCUCAAAACUACUUCCCUAGGUCCUGGUCCUGCCCAGCCCUUGUUCAUUCUUAGGUUUGUCUUCCAGCGACUCUAUGAGGUAGGUACAAUUACAUCUUCAAUUGAAUGCUAGAUACAGAGGGUCAGAGGGAUGGAGUGACUUGUCCACUUGAAUGGUAGAGCAGGGAUUUGAACCUAAGACUUUCUGAACCCAAAGCUCAGAACACCUGGUAGCAGGAGUAAGGAGGUGAACUGUGUGCCCCUGAUCAAGAUCAGAACUCCUAAAUGACCAUGAACCUAUUUGGGGAAGACAGUGUCCCUCUAUUCUCACUUCCCUAUUCUUAUGUCCUCCUCAGAGGAGAAUCUGGAGGAUAUCAUCAGUGGAACCAGGAGUUUCUCCCACUUGAAUCCAGCAGUCUCCCUGGGAGAACUGGGAGAGGACUGUGUCCCAGGAAGGGGAGGAAGAGGUCUGAAUGGGAGGUAAAUUGAAGGGUGGGCAUCCCCUGCCUAGCUCUGCACACCUGAGGUGAAGGUCUUGUGGCACCAGAAGAUUUUGUGGAUGUCAUCCAGCUUUUUCCAGGAGCCCUUGCGGUCCAGCAGCCCUCGUAUCUUCAUGCCCAAGGACCUUAAGGAUGGGGAAGAUCCUCACUGGCUCCCCUCUGCCUAAAGAACAAAGCUCCAAGUGCCAAGCCUGAGUAGUCCAUGAAGCUUCCCAUCAGUCAGUUUCAAUCAACCUUUCCAGCUUUUUCUGUGCACUAGACAAGGCCAACCAAGGCCUUGAGCUCCUGAGCUUAAGUGAUCUUCUGGCCUCAGCUUCAUAUGAGUAUCUGGGACUAUAGGCAUGGAUUACCACACCUGGCUCAAAGAUGAACAUUCUACAAUGGACUAGUAAAAGUGGAAUUGGCAAGCUGAGAGGACUUUGUGUAAAUGUGUA
This is a long non-coding RNA of Marmota flaviventris (yellow-bellied marmot), 1267 nucleotides long. RefSeq lists it as uncharacterized. The record is from RefSeq and is a predicted model, not a curated record. NCBI's taxonomy places the organism in Eukaryota, Metazoa, Chordata, Mammalia, Rodentia, Sciuridae.